RNAcentral lists this unclassified non-coding RNA (342 nucleotides) under soil metagenome. RNAcentral's name for it is "partial contains 5.8S ribosomal RNA, internal transcribed spacer 2, and large subunit ribosomal RNA". The stretch from base 1 to 116 matches the Rfam family "5.8S ribosomal RNA", at positions 38 to 154 of the family's 154-position model. The record is from RNAcentral.
GAAGAACGCAGCGAAAUGCGAUACGUAAUGUGAAUUGCAAAUUCAGUGAAUCAUCGAGUCUUUGAACGCACAUUGCGCCCCCUGGUAUUCCGGGGGGCAUGCCUGUCCGAGCGUCAUUGCUGCCCUCAAGCACGGCUUGUGUGUUGGGCCCCGUCCUCCGAUCCCGGGGGACGGGCCCGAAAGGCAGCGGCGGCACCGCGUCCGGUCCUCGAGCGUAUGGGGCUUUGUCACCCGCUCUGUAGGCCCGGCCGGCGCUUGCCGAUCAACCCAAAUUUUUAUCCAGGUUGACCUCGGAUCAGGUAGGGAUACCCGCUGAACUUAAGCAUAUCAAUAAGCGGAGGA